GGCGGAAUGGCAGACGCGCCGUCCUCAGGCGGCCGUGGGGGCAACCCCGUGGAGGUUCGAGUCCUCUCAUCC
Molecule: transfer RNA, 72 nt
Filed under: Planctomycetota bacterium
Lineage: Bacteria; Pseudomonadati; Planctomycetota
Description: Planctomycetes bacterium (soil metagenome) tRNA-OTHER
Source: RNAcentral